Molecule: ribosomal RNA, 750 nt
Filed under: uncultured bacterium
Lineage: Bacteria
Description: bacterial SSU rRNA
Rfam family: Bacterial small subunit ribosomal RNA
Source: RNAcentral
CAGGCCUAACACAUGCAAGUCGAGCGGACUUAUCCUUCGGGAUAGGUUAGCGGCGGACGGGUGAGUAACACGUAGGCAACCUGCCUGUAAGAUCGGGAUAACUACCGGAAACGGUAGCUAAGACCGGAUAGCUGGUUUCUCCGCAUGGGGGAAUCAUGAAACACGGGGCAACCUGUGGCUUACGGAUGGGCCUGCGGCGCAUUAGCUAGUUGGUGGGGUAACGGCCCACCAAGGCGACGAUGCGUAGCCGACCUGAGAGGGUGAUCGGCCACACUGGGACUGAGACACGGCCCAGACUCCUACGGGAGGCAGCAGUAGGGAAUCUUCCGCAAUGGGCGCAAGCCUGACGGAGCAACGCCGCGUGAGUGAUGAAGGUUUUCGGAUCGUAAAGCUCUGUCGCCAAGGAAGAACGCCUCGGAGAGUAACUGCUCUGAGGGUGACGGUACUUGAGAAGAAAGCCCCGGCUAACUACGUGCCAGCAGCCGCGGUAAUACGUAGGGGGCAAGCGUUGUCCGGAAUUAUUGGGCGUAAAGCGCGCGCAGGCGGUCUUUUAAGUUUGGUGUUUAAGCCCGGGGCUCAACCCCGGUUCGCACUGAAAACUGGGAGACUUGAGUGCAGGAGAGGAAAGCGGAAUUCCACGUGUAGCGGUGAAAUGCGUAGAGAUGUGGAGGAACACCAGUGGCGAAGGCGGCUUUCUGGACUGUAACUGACGCUGAGGCGCGAAAGCGUGGGGAGCAAACAGGAUUAGAU